Lolium rigidum is the source of this 473-nucleotide long non-coding RNA. RefSeq lists it as uncharacterized. The transcript is spliced from 2 exons. The record is from RefSeq and is a predicted model, not a curated record. Lineage: Eukaryota; Viridiplantae; Streptophyta; Magnoliopsida; Poales; Poaceae.
AGGAAGGGUGCAGCUUCGCCAGAGCAGAAAAGGGUUGCCAAGGGAAAUCCUGACCCAAAUCCAACUGGAGGAGGUGGAGAGUUGUGAAGGCGGCGUGAUCUACGACCUCAUGCAACAGAUGGUGGACAAGCAAUCUGCUUGAAGAUAAACGGCUGGGGCUUUGUCAUUGUCCUUGAUUGUUUGUGCAAAGAAGACAUCUCCCAGUUUCAAGUCAUGCUAUAAAGCAGACAUGGACGCUUCAGAGCAUGUAGGUAGACUUUGUAGUACCAAACUUCUGUUUGAAGCUUUGGAAUUUUCUGUAAUCCUUUACGCUUCAGAAGAGGCUCCCCUAGUGCUGUUAACAAGAGUCCCUAGUUUCCACAACCCGCAGCCGUAGUUUCAUCAUUCUGUUGUAACAGAAUUCAACCCCUUGUGCACCAAGGAAUGCCCACAUGGAUAUUAUGUCUUGCUCAGAAUCUUUUCGACCCUUUGCA